This 1224-nucleotide ribosomal RNA is filed under the name Enterococcus faecium. RNAcentral's name for it is "bacterial SSU rRNA". It matches the Rfam family "Bacterial small subunit ribosomal RNA", at positions 32 to 1217 of the family's 1533-position model. Lineage: Bacteria; Bacillati; Bacillota; Bacilli; Lactobacillales; Enterococcaceae. The record is from RNAcentral.
AGAGCUAUCCGGCGUCUAUACUGCAGUCGUACGCUUCUUUUUCCACCGGGAGCUUGCUCCACCGGAAAAAGAAGAGUGGCGAACGGGUGAGUAACACGUGGGUAACCUGCCCAUCAGAAGGGGAUAACACUUGGAAACAGGUGCUAAUACCGUAUAACAAUCGAAACCGCAUGGUUUUGAUUUGAAAGGCGCUUUCGGGUGUCGCUGAUGGAUGGACCCGCGGUGCAUUAGCUAGUUGGUGAGGUAACGGCUCACCAAGGCCACGAUGCAUAGCCGACCUGAGAGGGUGAUCGGCCACAUUGGGACUGAGACACGGCCCAAACUCCUACGGGAGGCAGCAGUAGGGAAUCUUCGGCAAUGGACGAAAGUCUGACCGAGCAACGCCGCGUGAGUGAAGAAGGUUUUCGGAUCGUAAAACUCUGUUGUUAGAGAAGAACAAGGAUGAGAGUAACUGUUCAUCCCUUGACGGUAUCUAACCAGAAAGCCACGGCUAACUACGUGCCAGCAGCCGCGGUAAUACGUAGGUGGCAAGCGUUGUCCGGAUUUAUUGGGCGUAAAGCGAGCGCAGGCGGUUUCUUAAGUCUGAUGUGAAAGCCCCCGGCUCAACCGGGGAGGGUCAUUGGAAACUGGGAGACUUGAGUGCAGAAGAGGAGAGUGGAAUUCCAUGUGUAGCGGUGAAAUGCGUAGAUAUAUGGAGGAACACCAGUGGCGAAGGCGGCUCUCUGGUCUGUAACUGACGCUGAGGCUCGAAAGCGUGGGGAGCAAACAGGAUUAGAUACCCUGGUAGUCCACGCCGUAAACGAUGAGUGCUAAGUGUUGGAGGGUUUCCGCCCUUCAGUGCUGCAGCUAACGCAUUAAGCACUCCGCCUGGGGAGUACGACCGCAAGGGUUGAAACUCAAAGGAAUUGACGGGGGCCCGCACAAGCGGUGGGAGCAAUGUGGUUUAAUUCGAAGCAACGCGAAGAACCCUUACCAGGGUCUUGACAUCCCUUUUGACCACCUCUAGAGAUAGAGCUUUCCCCUUCGGGGGCAAAGUGACAGGUGUGCAUGGGUUGUCGUCAGCUCGUGUCGUGAAGAUGUUGGGCUUAAGUUCCGCAACCGAGCCGCAACCCUUAUGUAGUUGCAUCAUUCAGUUGGGCACUCUAGCCAGACUGCCGGUUGACAAUCCGUAGCAGGUGGGAUUGAACGGUCAAUUCAUCCAUGUGCCCCCUUUAUGUGUGUGAC